RNAcentral lists this ribosomal RNA (530 nucleotides) under uncultured bacterium. RNAcentral's name for it is "partial 16S ribosomal RNA". It matches the Rfam family "Bacterial small subunit ribosomal RNA", at positions 355 to 895 of the family's 1533-position model. The record is from RNAcentral.
UGGGGAAUAUUGCACAAUGGGCGCAAGCCUGAUGCAGCAACGCCGCGUGAGGGACGACGGCCUUCGGGUUGUAAACCUCUUUUAGUAGGGAAGAAGCGAAAGUGACGGUACCUGCAGAAAAAGCACCGGCUAACUACGUGCCAGCAGCCGCGGUAAUACGUAGGGUGCGAGCGUUGUCCGGAAUUAUUGGGCGUAAAGAGCUCGUAGGCGGUCUGUCGCGUCUGCUGUGAAAACCCGAGGCUCAACCUCGGGCCUGCAGUGGGUACGGGCAGACUAGAGUGCGGUAGGGGAGAAUGGAAUUCCUGGUGUAGCGGUGGAAUGCGCAGAUAUCAGGAGGAACACCGAUGGCGAAGGCAGUUCUCUGGGCCGUAACUGACGCUGAGGAGCGAAAGCGUGGGGAGCGAACAGGAUUAGAUACCCUGGUAGUCCACGCCGUAAACGUUGGGCGCUAGAUGUGGGGACCAUUCCACGGUUUCCGUGUCGCAGCUAACGCAUUAAGCGCCCCGCCUGGGGAGUACGGCCGCAAGGCU